GUGCCAGCCGCCGCGGUAAAACGUAGGUCCCGAGCGUUGUUCGGAUUCACUGGGUGUAAAGGGCGCGUAGGUGGUUGUCUGUGUCUCAUGUGAAAACUCAGGGCUCAACUCUGAGAUUGCGUGGGAAACUAGGCAGCUAGAGGACGGUAGAGGGGAGUGGAAUUCCCGGUGUAGCGGUAAAAUGCGUAGAUAUCGGGAGGAACACCGGUGGCGAAGGCGGCUCUCUGGGCCGAUCCUGACGCUGAGGCGCGAAAGCUAGGGGAGCGAACCGGAUUAGAUACCCGGGUAGUCCUAGCCGUAAACGAUGGGUGCUAGGUGUUGGGGGGUAAAGACCCUUCAGUGCCGAAGCCAACGCGAUAAGCAUCCCACCUGGGGAGUACGGCCGCAAGGUUGAAACUCAAAUAAAUUGACGG
Molecule: ribosomal RNA, 413 nt
Filed under: uncultured bacterium
Lineage: Bacteria
Description: bacterial SSU rRNA
Rfam family: Bacterial small subunit ribosomal RNA
Source: RNAcentral